GGGUGGUGGGAGCAGAGUAGCAGGAGUUCCAGGUCCAGGCGACGCUCGUGGAGUGGAGAAGCUCGUCGUCCAGCAUCACCAUCCCCAAUCUAGAUCUGAGAUAGAAAAGAAGAGAAAUAAUCUUGUGGAAUUUCUUAUCUGAGAUAGAAAAGAAGAGAAAGAUCUUGUGGAAGAGCUUGACGAAAAAGAAAGGGAUCUGAGAUAGAAAAGAAGAGAAAUAAUCUUGUGGAAUUUCAUAUCUGAGAAAAGAAGAGAAAGAUUCUUGUGGAAGAGCAGCUUGACAAAAAAGAAAGGGGCGGCACAACUGUACACCACCAUGAACAGGGGCAACACUCACAUUUACCCUCCAAAAUUCAACAUUUUCAUAUUUUGAGGAGCUUCAGUACGUUUGCUCACCGAUGAACUAGAAGUUGUUCUGUGUACUGCAUGAUUGAGGAAGUGCUAUUGCAGAUCAAAGUUGGUAGAAGCAUCUGCUGGGAAUCAAGCGUUACAUGGCUGUGGGUGACAAGGUUAGUGGUUUAGGAGUUCCUGCCAACACUGGCUUUUGGAAUUUAUCCUCGCUUCAUCAGUUGGGAUUUCUGUACAAAACUAAGAUAAUUUAUUUUGGUGCUUGCGAUGAG
Triticum dicoccoides is the source of this 620-nucleotide long non-coding RNA. RefSeq lists it as uncharacterized. NCBI's taxonomy places the organism in Eukaryota, Viridiplantae, Streptophyta, Magnoliopsida, Poales, Poaceae. The transcript has 7 exons. The record is from RefSeq and is a predicted model, not a curated record.